This 506-nucleotide ribosomal RNA is filed under the name uncultured bacterium. RNAcentral describes it as "partial 16S ribosomal RNA". It matches the Rfam family "Bacterial small subunit ribosomal RNA", at positions 899 to 1397 of the family's 1533-position model. The record is from RNAcentral.
ACUCAAAGGAAUUGACGGGGGCUCACACAAGCGGUGGAGCAUGUUGCUUAAUUCGAAGCAACGCGAAGAACCUUACCUGGGUUUGACAUGCUUGGAUUAGUCGUUGGAAACAGCGAUGACACUCGCAAGAGUGGAACAAGCACAGGUGCUGCAUGGCUGUCGUCAGCUCGUGCUGUGAAGUGUCGGGUUAAGUCCCUUAACGAGCGCAACCCUUGUCGCUAGUUGCUAACGGGUAAUGCCGAGGACUCUAGCGAGACUGCCGGUGUCAAACCGGAGGAAGGUGGGGAUGACGUCAAGUCCUCAUGGCCCUUACAUCCAGGGUUGCAAACGUGCUACAAUGGUGCGUACAGAGCGACGCGAGACCGCAAGGUGGAGCAAAUCGCAAAAAACGCACCCCAGUUCGGAUUGCAGGCUGCAACUCGCCUGCAUGAAGCCGGAAUCGCUAGUAAUCGUGGAUCAGCUACGCCACGGUGAAUAAGUUCCUGAGCCUUGUACACACCGCCCGU